This 307-nucleotide ribosomal RNA is filed under the name uncultured bacterium. RNAcentral describes it as "bacterial SSU rRNA". It matches the Rfam family "Bacterial small subunit ribosomal RNA", at positions 28 to 334 of the family's 1533-position model. The record is from RNAcentral.
GACGAACGCUGGCGGCGCGCCUAACACAUGCAAGUCGAACGGUGACGAGAGCUUCGGCUCUCUGAUCAGUGGCGGACGGGUGAGUAACACGUGAGCAACCUGCCUAUCAGAGGGGGACAACAGUUGGAAACGACUGCUAAUACCGCAUAACGUGCCCGGGAGGCAUCUCCUGGGUACCAAAGAUUUAUCGCUGAUAGAUGGGCUCGCGUCUGAUUAGAUAGUUGGCGGGGUAACGGCCCACCAAGUCGACGAUCAGUAGCCGGACUGAGAGGUUGAACGGCCACAUUGGGACUGAGACACGGCCCAG